This is a small nuclear RNA of Ochotona princeps (American pika), 107 nucleotides long. The record is from Ensembl. Lineage: Eukaryota; Metazoa; Chordata; Mammalia; Lagomorpha; Ochotonidae.
GUGCUCGCUUCAGCAGCACAUAUACUAAAACUGAACAAUACAGAGAAGAUUAGCAUGGCCCCUGAGCAAUGAUGAAACACCAAAUGUGACAAAUGCAUGCAAUGGAA